This 512-nucleotide ribosomal RNA is filed under the name uncultured bacterium. RNAcentral describes it as "bacterial SSU rRNA". It matches the Rfam family "Bacterial small subunit ribosomal RNA", at positions 28 to 545 of the family's 1533-position model. The record is from RNAcentral.
GACGAACGCUGGCGGCGUGCUUAACACAUGCAAGUCGAGGGCGUGGAGCAAUCCACGACCGGCGAACGGGUGCGUAACACGUGAGCGACCUGCCCACUUGUGGGGGAUAGCCGGCCCAACGGCCGGGUAAUCCCGCAUACGCUUUCGGAGCUUCAUGGCUCUGAACGGAAAGCCGAAAGGCGCAGGUGGAGGGGCUCGCGGCCUAUCAGGUAGUUGGCGGGGUAAUGGCCCACCAAGCCGAUGACGGGUAGCUGGUCUGAGAGGAUGGCCAGCCACAUUGGGACUGAGAUACGGCCCAGACUCCUACGGGAGGCAGCAGUGGGGAAUCUUGCGCAAUGGUCGAAAGACUGACGCAGCGACGCCGCGUGAAGGAGGAAGCCCUUCGGGUGGUAAACUUACUGUUACCCGGGAAGAAACUCGGAUUUCGAUCCGACUGACGGUACCGGGGAAGGAAAGCACCGGCUAACCCUGUGCCAGCAGCCGCGGUAAUACAGAGGGUGCGAGCGUGUCGG